CCCAAAUCAAGCUGAAUUUGCAUGUCUCUACUUUCUGGUUUUACCUUAUUACCACAAAAUUAGACAACCUACAUCUGACCUUCAGCUGGUAAUGCCAUCCAUAAAGAUGCUUUUUAGAGGGAACAUGUCUGAGGUGGAUCCUGUUAAGAUUGAAGUUGAAAAAAAUCACACGAAUCAAAUUCAUUCUGAGCCUUCAGGGAUCGCAUACGAACUGCUACCAACGUGCUGGGUGGCUGCAUCAGUGUAGAUGUGGUGCAGCAUCUGUCCA
This is a long non-coding RNA of Gambusia affinis (western mosquitofish), 268 nucleotides long. RefSeq lists it as uncharacterized. The record is from RefSeq and is a predicted model, not a curated record. NCBI's taxonomy places the organism in Eukaryota, Metazoa, Chordata, Actinopteri, Cyprinodontiformes, Poeciliidae. The transcript is spliced from 3 exons.